This 497-nucleotide ribosomal RNA is filed under the name uncultured bacterium. Its description in RNAcentral is "partial 16S ribosomal RNA". It matches the Rfam family "Bacterial small subunit ribosomal RNA", at positions 28 to 507 of the family's 1533-position model. The record is from RNAcentral.
GAUGAACGCUGGCGGCGUGCCUAAUACAUGCAAGUCGAGCGAACGGACGAGAAGCUUGCUUCUCUGAUGUUAGCGGCGGACGGGUGAGUAACACGUGGAUAACCUACCUAUAAGACUGGGAUAACUUCGGGAAACCGGAGCUAAUACCGGAUAAUAUUUUGAACCGCAUGGUUCAAAAGUGAAAGACGGUCUUGCUGUCACUUAUAGAUGGAUCCGCGCUGCAUUAGCUAGUUGGUAAGGUAACGGCUUACCAAGGCAACGAUGCAUAGCCGACCUGAGAGGGUGAGCGGCCACACGGGAACUGCGACACGGUCCAGACGCAUACGGGAGGCAGCAGUAGGGAAUCGUCCGCAAUGGGCGAAAGCCUGACAGAGCAACGCCGAGGGAGUGAUGAAGGUCUUCGGAUCGUAAAACUCUGUUAUGAGGGGAGAACAAAUGUGUAAGUAACUGUGCACAUCUUGACGGUACCUAAUCAGAAAGCCACGGCUAACUACGUG